UAUUGCACAAUGGGCGAAAGCCUGAUGCAGCAACGCCGCGUGUACGAUGAAGGCCUUCGGGUUGUAAAGUACUUUUAUGAGGGAAGAGUAAGGACUGUACCUCAUGAAUAAGGAUCGGCUAACUACGUGCCAGCAGCCGCGGUAACACGUAGGAUCCGAGCGUUAUCCGGAUUUACUGGGCGUAAAGCGCGUGUAGGUGGUCUGUUAAGUUAGGUGUUAAAUCUCUCGGCUCAACUGGGAGGUGUCGCUUAAAACUGGCAGACUGGAGGACGGUAGAGGAAGGUGGAAUUCCGGGUGUAGUGGUGAAAUGCGUAGAUAUCCGGAGGAACAUCAGUGGCGAAGGCGGCCUUCUGGACCGCUCCUGACACUCCAACGCGAAAGCUAGGGGAGCAAACGGG
RNAcentral lists this ribosomal RNA (398 nucleotides) under uncultured bacterium. RNAcentral describes it as "bacterial SSU rRNA". It matches the Rfam family "Bacterial small subunit ribosomal RNA", at positions 362 to 776 of the family's 1533-position model. The record is from RNAcentral.